CAGCCCAUGAUGAAAUCAUAUAGUGAGAAUGGAAUCUGAUGAUUGAGUGUGAAGAUUUGAGGAGAAAGAUAUGUAAGAUGUAUGUCCUAGAAGCCAAUACAGCUAACACAUUGUAAUAAAUCUAGGACAUAAUUUUAUCUUUAAUAUAUUGAUAUGAUCAAUAAAAGAGCAAGUUUAUUUUUCAUUCAAAUGUAAUGUAUCCUUGAAU
Molecule: long non-coding RNA, 208 nt
Filed under: Elaeis guineensis (African oil palm)
Lineage: Eukaryota; Viridiplantae; Streptophyta; Magnoliopsida; Arecales; Arecaceae
Description: long non-coding RNA (EGUI_LNC068729)
Source: RNAcentral